Molecule: ribosomal RNA, 505 nt
Filed under: uncultured bacterium
Lineage: Bacteria
Description: partial 16S ribosomal RNA
Rfam family: Bacterial small subunit ribosomal RNA
Source: RNAcentral
GACGAACGCUGGCGGCGUGCCUAAUACAUGCAAGUAGAACGCACAGUUUAUACCGUAGCUUGCUACACCAUAGACUGUGAGUUGCGAACGGGUGAGUAACGCGUAGGUAACCUGCCUGGUAGCGGGGGAUAACUAUUGGAAACGAUAGCUAAUACCGCAUAAUAUUAAUUAUUGCAUGAUAAUUAAUUGAAAGGUGCAAUUGCACCACUACCAGAUGGACCUGCGUUGUAUUAGCUAGUAGGUGAGGUAACGGCUCACCUAGGCGACGAUACAUAGCCGAACUGAGAGGGUGAUCGGCCACACUGGGACUGAGACACGGCCCAGACGCCUACGGGAGGCAGCAGUAGGGAAUCUUCGGCAAGGGACGAAAGUCUGACCGAGCAACGCCGCGUGAGUGAAGAAGGGUUUCGGAUCGUAAAGCUCUGUUGUAAGAGAAGAACGGGUGUGAGAGUGGAAAGUUCACACUGUGACGGUAUCUUACCAGAAAGGGACGGCUAACUACGUG